Molecule: non-coding RNA, 408 nt
Organism: Carlito syrichta (Philippine tarsier)
Lineage: Eukaryota; Metazoa; Chordata; Mammalia; Primates; Tarsiidae
Source: the annotation of a RefSeq genome assembly
CGGGUCUCCUCAGUUCUACUUCUCAAAAUGAAGUUCCCCGCUCAGCUCCUGGGACUCCUGAUGCUCUGGGUCCCUGGAAACAGUGUGAAUGUUGUGAUGACACAGACUCCACUCUCCCUCCCUAUCACCCCUGGAGAGCCGGCCUCCAUCUCCUGCAGGUCUAGUCAGAGCCUCCAACAUAGUAAUGGAAAUAACUAUUUGGAGUGGUUCCUGCAGAAGCCAGGCCGGACUCCACAGCUCCUGAUCUAUUUGGCUUCCAGACGGGCCUCUGGGGUCCCAGACAGGUUCAGUGGCAGUGGGUCAGGCACUGAUUUCACACUGAAAAUUAACAGGGUGGAGGCUGAAGAUGUUGGGGUUUAUUACUGCAUGCAAGUUAUACAUACUCCUCCCACAGUGUUACAGCCCUGA